RNAcentral lists this ribosomal RNA (440 nucleotides) under uncultured bacterium. Its description in RNAcentral is "partial 16S ribosomal RNA". It matches the Rfam family "Bacterial small subunit ribosomal RNA", at positions 338 to 795 of the family's 1533-position model. The record is from RNAcentral.
CCUACGGGAGGCAGCAGUAGGGAAUAUUGCUCAAUGGGGGAAACCCUGAAGCAGCAACGCCGCGUGGAGGAUGACGGUUUUCGGAUUGUAAACUCCUUUUGUUAGAGAAGAUAAUGACUGUAUCUAACGCAUAAGCACCGGCUAACUCCGUGCCAGCAGCCGCGGUAAUACGUAGGGUGCAAGCGUUACUCGGAAGCACUGGGCGUAAAGAGCGCGUAGGCGGGAUAGCAAGUCAGAUGUGAAAUCCUAUGGCUUAACCAUAGAACUGCAUUUGAAACUGUUAUUCUAGAGUAUGGGAGAGGUAGGUGGAAUUCUUGGUGUAGGGGUAAAAUCCGUAGAGAUCAAGAGGAAUACUCAUUGCGAAGGCGACCUGCUAGAACAUAACUGACGCUGAUGCGCGAAAGCGUGGGGAGCAAACAGGAUUAGAUACCCUGGUAGUC